This 738-nucleotide ribosomal RNA is filed under the name uncultured Pseudomonadota bacterium. Its description in RNAcentral is "bacterial SSU rRNA". It matches the Rfam family "Bacterial small subunit ribosomal RNA", at positions 67 to 784 of the family's 1533-position model. The record is from RNAcentral. Lineage: Bacteria; Pseudomonadati; Pseudomonadota.
CGCGAAAGUCCCGAAAGGGAUUAGUAGAGUGGCAAACGGGUGAGUAACACGUGGGUGACCUGCCUUCGAGUGGGGGAUAACGUCCCGAAAGGGACGCUAAUACCGCAUGACAUCCUGCCUUUGAAGAGGUGGAGAUCAAAGCUGGGGAUCGCAAGACCUAGCGCUCAAAGAGGGGCCCGCGCCUGAUUAGCUAGUUGGUGGGGUAACGGCUCACCAAGGCAACGAUCAGUACCCGGCCUGAGAGGGCGGACGGACACACUGGGACUGAGACACGGCCCAGACUCCUACGGGAGGCAGCAGUGGGGAAUUGUUCGCAAUGGGCGCAAGCCUGACGACGCAACGCCGCGUGGAGGAUGAAGACCUUCGGGUCGUAAACUCCUUUCGAUCGAGACGAACGGCUUCCGGGUGAACAAUCCGGAAGAAUGACGGUACCGAGAGAAGAAGCCCCGGCUAACUCCGUGCCAGCAGCCGCGGUAAUACGGGGGGGGCAAGCGUUGUUCGGAAUUACUGGGCGUAAAGGGCUCGUAGGCGGCCAACUAAGUCAGACGUGAAAUCCCCAGGCUUAACCUGGGAACUGCGUCUGAUACUGGAUGGCUUGAGAUUGGGAGAGGGAUGCGGAAUUCCAGGUGUAGCGGUGAAAUGCGUAGAUAUCUGGAGGAACACCGGUGGCGAAGGCGACAUCCUGGACCAACACUGACGCUGAGGAGCGAAAGCCAGGGGAGCAAACGGGAUUAGAUA